GCUGUUGCAAAGGUAGAGAGAGAAGUGACGAUGGUGAUCGUUGUUGCCGCGGCCGAUAUGGAACCCAAGCAGUGGCGAAGGGAAUCGCAAGGCUCUUCCCUGACCAUUUUCUCCUGUCCCUGCGCGAGCAGUCUGCUGCCGCUCGGGACUUUUCUCGCUGAGACACCGUCAGCUCACUCCGAGCCCAGCACAGCGGCCAUCUUCGGUAAAUCCUGGCAGCAGCCCGCCUGUCCAUUGUCCUGUGUACCCAGAGGAAAGAACCACUCAUUUUUCGUGAUCAAGCUAGGGGAGGCAGGAGCAAUAAUGGCCCUGCUAUAGGACUGGCUUUUAUUUGAAUUCCAACUCUUCAACCAGCCGUACCCAGAUUUUAAAAGUUAAUCUAUCUGAGCCUCUUAUUAAAUAUUAGGUUGAUGAGAUGAUGCAUGCAAAGCGCUUAGAACAGUACUAGGCAUAAAGUAUCCGACAUAAAGGUUAAGUAAAAGUAAGGAAAAGCUAUGGGGAUGUAUUGGGUUAUCUCUGCCCAAUGACGUGUUAGUCGUAUUAAAUAUGGAAAGUGCCUUUGAUUCUCCGUGCCCAUGGGAGAAGGCAUAGGAAUGGCCUUUUUCCACCUGUAAUCAGAGCAGGUGUUUCGAGAACGCCUCAAUAUGUUUGCGAUCUCUCAAGCAGCCUUUCAGGCUCCUAAUUUCUACGAAGUUUCCGCUUUUAUUCAAAUUGGCUCACUCCUUUUUGCAGGGCUUUGUACUGAAUGAGUAUUCUCUUAAGGGUGGUGGACAAGCAAAGGCUUGGUAGCAUCACAUUUUUAAUUUCACAGGGAAAAUGGGUAUGAAACAUCUUCCCAAGUACAUCUUAGACUGCCAGCUGACAGCAAGCCAUAAUGCUCCCCAGCUCUUGGGCCCUACACCCCCUCUCCCCCAUCCCCGCUUUAGUUGUCAUUGCUCAUGGACAGCUGGUUUGGGGACCAGGUGCAGAUGAUGGGCGGUGUCUUUAAAAAACAGCAAGUGAGAAAUGCUAGUUUUGUUGUUCUAAGUUGCACUGAUGACUCUAGUAGUUAUCGGUGCUGCUUGUGAUAAUUUAUAAGGCAAUGAUAACGAAUUAAACAUAGAAAAGAUUAUUAUCUUCCACAGGAAAAAAAAAAACUGCAAACACCAUUUAUGAUCCACUUAGUCUUGAGAUACUGAGUAAUAGAACUUUCUUCUUCUAGGCUGAGUUGUGAACUUGGGUUUGGUUUCUUUCUGCAAUCCCUGCAGGGCCAUAAAUUCUUGGCCCUUAAGACUGUUCUCGGUGGCCCAUAACAGACUCAGUGAUACCAUCAGUAACCACAAUUCACACUGGAGUCAAGUUAUCUGAUUCCCACACCAGUUGGAGAACUGGAGAUUCCUUAGAACUUUUAACUGUGAUGUUUUCAAAGUUGACGUGGAAAAUUUUACAUGAAGCUUAAAAAUACAACUAAUCUGUGAUGAUAGAGAUGAGAAGAGUUAAGCUCUAAAAUUAGAAGAGCAGUUCGUUUUGAGGCAGCAUUGAUUGGGAGGGAGCAUGGAGUAUAUAAUUACACAUUUCUAUAUAAUAUAAAAAUGUAUAGAUUUAAGAUUUAUGCAUUUUAUGUAAAUUGUACUACAAUAAAACGAAAAUGAAAGAAUAAGACAAAGAUGAUCAUAUAUAGUUUAAUCAAAUAUUUUGUACAAAGUAAUUUCUGUUAAACAUUUAUAUUUUUAUGUGUAUAUGUACCUUUUACGUGUAUGUGUUAAAGAUAUGCACUAAAAUGGUAAUAACUCCUCUGCCUAUUGGGAUAAUGGAGAGUUUUGUUACUUUUUGUCUUUUUUUUUAAAACAUGUUCUGCAAUAAUAAUGUAUUGCUUUUGUAAUUAUGAAAAACAAAAGUUAUUUUGUAAAUCUUUGUUACUGAUAAGAGAUGGGUAUUCUGUUAACUGCUCAAUUCUCAUGUAGGAAAACAAAAUACAUAAUGUCUAUUUGAUAAAUCGAGAAACAGAAGCAUUACUUAGAAAUCUGAGUUACCUCUAAAAUAAUGACUGGCAUUUGAAGUUGAGGAUGGGUCUUGAGUUCCUGUGAUUUUAAGCUCUUGGAUAUGAGGGUUGGGUGAGUUCCUCUUUCUCUCUUUUAAAAUAUAUGUAUGUUUAACUUUGCUAAAUAAAAUGUAAAAGAUACAAUG
Pongo pygmaeus (Bornean orangutan) is the source of this 2166-nucleotide long non-coding RNA. RefSeq lists it as uncharacterized. The transcript has 2 exons. The record is from RefSeq and is a predicted model, not a curated record. NCBI's taxonomy places the organism in Eukaryota, Metazoa, Chordata, Mammalia, Primates, Hominidae.